UGCUAAUACCGGAUGUGCUAUUUUUAUCACAUGAUUUAUAUAGUAAAGGUAGCCCGCAAGGCCUCUGCUUUAAGAUGAGCCCGCGUCCUAUUAGCUUGUUGGUGGGGUAACGGCCUACCAGGGCAAUGAUGGGUAGCCGGUCUGAGAGGAUGGUCGGCCACACUGGGACUGAGAUACGGCCCAGACUCCUACGGGAGGCAGCAGUAGGGAAUAUUGCGCAAUGGGCGAAAGCCUGACGCAGCGACACCGUGUGAAGGAUGAAGGUCUUCGGAUUGUAAACUUCUGUCAAUUGGGGACGAAGGUACUGGGGUUAAUAGCCUUCAGUAUUGACGGUACCCAAUAAGGAAGUCUCGGCUUACUCCGUGCCAGCAGCCGCGGUAAGACGGGGGAGGCAAGCGUUGUCCGGAAUUAUUGGGCGUAAAGAGCGCGUAGGUGGUUUAUCAAGUCAUUUGUGAAAACUUUAGGCUUAACUUAAAGAUUGCAAGUGAUACUGGUAAACUUGAGCACAGUAGAGGAAAAUGGAAUUCCUGGUGUACGGUGAAAUGCGCAGAUAUCAGGAAGAACACCAGUGGCGAAGGCGGUUUUCUUGGGCUGUUGCUGACACUGGAGGCGCGAAAGCCUAGGGGAAGCCGAACCAGGAAUUAGGUA
Molecule: ribosomal RNA, 648 nt
Filed under: uncultured bacterium
Lineage: Bacteria
Description: bacterial SSU rRNA
Rfam family: Bacterial small subunit ribosomal RNA
Source: RNAcentral